CCUACGGGAGGCAGCAGUGAGGAAUAUUGGUCAAUGGACGAGAGUCUGAACUAGCCAAGUAGCGUGAAGGAUGACUGCCCUAUGGGUUGUAAACUUCUUUUAUAUGGGAAUAAAAUGUUCCACGUGUGGGUUUUUGUAUGUACCAUAUGAAUAAGGAUCGGCUAACUCCGUGCCAGCAGCCGCGGUAAUACGGAGGAUCCGAGCGUUAUCCGGAUUUAUUGGGUUUAAAGGGAGCGUAGGUGGAUUGUUAAGUCAGUUGUGAAAGUUUGCGGCUCAACCGUAAAAUUGCAGUUGAAACUGGCAGUCUUGAGUACAGUAGAGGUGGGCGGAAUUCGUGGUGUAGCGGUGAAAUGCUUAGAUAUCACGAAGAACUCCGAUUGCGAAGGCAGCUCACUGGACUGCAACUGACACUGAGGCUCGAAAGUGUGGGUAUCAAACAGGAUUAGAUACCCCAGUAGUC
Molecule: ribosomal RNA, 460 nt
Filed under: uncultured bacterium
Lineage: Bacteria
Description: partial 16S ribosomal RNA
Rfam family: Bacterial small subunit ribosomal RNA
Source: RNAcentral